GGGGUCGUAGCCCAAUCGGCAGAGGCACUAGGUUUAGGUCCUAGGCAGUGUGAGUUCGAAUCUCAUCGACCCCACCA
RNAcentral lists this transfer RNA (77 nucleotides) under Saccharopolyspora montiporae. RNAcentral's name for it is "tRNA-Leu". It matches the Rfam family "tRNA". Rfam says of the family: Transfer RNA (tRNA) molecules are approximately 80 nucleotides in length. Lineage: Bacteria; Bacillati; Actinomycetota; Actinomycetes; Pseudonocardiales; Pseudonocardiaceae. The record is from RNAcentral.